UGACAUUUAUUUCGUUUGGGGAAUCCCCUAAAUGAAUCACAGUCACAUAAAAAAAGGCUUGGAAAGUUCAGUCGUGCCUAUUUUUUAGUUUAGUUUUGGACUUCCCCGAGAAAGGACCAAGCAGGCAAAUAUCUUUACGAUGGCGCUCAACUUCAAUGAGGCUCUUGAAAUGCUUAUAGAAAAUCUAUCUAAUAAUCCAACACCAGAACAUAAAAGUUAUGUGCAGGACGCUUCCGACAUAUCCGAGAAAAUAUGCCAAGAAUUCAACAACAUCGACUCUAUUUUCAAGGGUACAAUCAGCAAUUUGGACAAGACAUAUAUGUUUUUCAAUAUUCCUUUUCCGAAAAUGGUAGAGCCGCUCCUUUGGCUUAAAAUGCCAUUUAAAGUAGAGCCUCAGCGCCUUCAUAUUCCCGAAUACAAGGUCUUUCAUCUGAAAACAUCUGUGGCACAUCCGGCAGUUGUGAAUAACUUUGUGAAGGGUGAUAAGCUAGCCAAAUUGUUCUUUACGGAUUUGAGCAAAGCCAUUGGCAGAGUUUCUCAGAUCGAGUGUAAAAGCGGAAAAUCAUAUAGCAUUCGACAUGGCAUGGAUAUGGCUAAAAACUUUAUAAUUAAUGCCUAUGAAGCUGGUCAGGUCGAAGAGACAAUUUCUUAUACUUUCAAACUACAAUUCAGUUUCUUUGACCAUUCUAUUUUGUACGCAACCAACAAGAAUUUAUUCUUCCAAGAAACCAAAUCUGAUAGACCUAAGAAAUUGUCAACCAUUCACAUGAUCGUCCACACAUUAUUGAUACAAUUAAAGGUGUAUUUAUCCUUGUCCAUUCAAGUUGGUGCAAACUUAUUUGAUUCUAUCAAUUGGAAAUUGGUUACCAACGCCGGUGAUACAUUGCUCGAGGUUUUAAUGAAGGUUAUUUCGAUAAUGCCAAACCCCGAGCCCGUCAAAUCGGUUUACCUGAAGUUAUUGCAGCUUAAGCAAUUAGAUUCAGUCGAAAUGCCAGAACUAAAAGCGCUUUUCGGGCUGCAUUAAAUAUCCAAAUGAGGACGAAUAAAUUAAAUUAAGAACAAGUAUACAAGGAUCUUAGACACUUCGAACGUCUACAAAAACAAUAUAUUUUGGUUUAUACUUUGCCAUGGAUUUAAAUUGGAAUUACUCAGAGCUUACGAAAUCCGUAUUUAAAUUCCACUACUGCCCAUUACAUUUUUGUACUUUUUUUCAGCUGAAUUAAAUAAACUUCAUAUUUUAAUAUCAAAUUGAGCUUGCCAAAUGGAGUUUAUGAUCAUGUUUCUGCAAGGACGUUUUUUAUUAACAAUAGCUACUGGUAAAUAACUAUGACUGGCCGCAAGUUUGCACGAGAAGUUGCUGGCAGUGGAGCUGGAUUACUGCUGAUCCUUUGUCUAAAUAUGUGUGUGAA
Molecule: RNA transcript, 1409 nt
Organism: Drosophila elegans
Lineage: Eukaryota; Metazoa; Arthropoda; Insecta; Diptera; Drosophilidae
Exons: 4
Source: RefSeq, a predicted model, not a curated record